This is a small nucleolar RNA of Python bivittatus (Burmese python), 116 nucleotides long. RefSeq annotates it as small nucleolar RNA SNORD90. The record is from RefSeq and is a predicted model, not a curated record. NCBI's taxonomy places the organism in Eukaryota, Metazoa, Chordata, Lepidosauria, Squamata, Pythonidae.
AGGUUCCGCGUCGACGCAUCUGCUGAUGAAGCUGCAUAGGGCAGAUUCUGAGCCGGGAGCUGCAGCUUCCCGGCACUGAUCUUCCAUUUAUGCAAACUGAGGAUGCGGCUCUUUUU